This 407-nucleotide long non-coding RNA is filed under the name Phoenix dactylifera (date palm). RNAcentral's name for it is "long non-coding RNA (PDAC_LNC015979)". The record is from RNAcentral. Lineage: Eukaryota; Viridiplantae; Streptophyta; Magnoliopsida; Arecales; Arecaceae.
UAUAUUUAAACAGGGAGAGUUUGGAGUGAAUAUUUUUAAAGAAAACAGUUUAACCUUUCUAUAUUGCUCAUCAUAGGGAUGGUGCCAAUGGAGAGGCUAGUGGUAGUAUCCGGUACUAUUUGACCCAACUAUUCGGUGUAGGGCAUAUUAAGGACGACAUAAGAGGGAGGCUAGUGGUAGUACCUCGUGCCCCUUCCAACUCCACCGGAUAGGGAGCAAAUAGAGUAUAAAGCAUAGAAAAGUAAAACCAAAAAGAAAUAAAGAUCAGAAUGUUCACUGAGUGCUUAAAGGAAGAAAUUCAAAAAUGAGGAAAUGAAUGACAAGAUAAAUGAAAGUAUAUAAGAAGCUUGUGGAAAGCCAAAUAAAGUUUCGAUCACUUGAAAACACACCUUAAGGAUAAAAUCAGU